RNAcentral lists this long non-coding RNA (538 nucleotides) under Manihot esculenta (cassava). RNAcentral's name for it is "long non-coding RNA (MESC_LNC001361)". The record is from RNAcentral. Lineage: Eukaryota; Viridiplantae; Streptophyta; Magnoliopsida; Malpighiales; Euphorbiaceae.
UCCUCUAGACGUGCCUCCUUAAUCCGGCGAUCUACAGACUCUCGGAGAGAGUGGUCACGAGCAUCCACCUCUAUGAAGAGGCCCAUCACCUAGCACAAAGAGAAAACCAUUAGGACAAGGAAACAAAGAGAACCAAAAUAAAAGCAAGAAUCAGAAGGGACAACUUACCAUGAGAAGCAUCUCCCUGAUUGUAUCUCUGAGCUCCCCCCGAGUCCGAGACCGGAAUGCUACUUGUUCUCGAGUAGAGCUGGCCAAAAGGCCAGUGAGAGCAAGCAGGCGAGGAUCUGAGGCCUCGGUCACCCUACCAAACAUCCGCUCCAGGAGAGUUUCCACGACCACGCUCGCCGGGGACUGAUGGGUGAUGUCCUCUGCGUUCAAGAUGUCGUUAUCAGGGGCAGAGAGCUGGGGCACCAACAGAGUCUUUUCCUUUUCGAGCAGAGGCAAAGCGGGGGGCCGGACGCCUGGAGGUCCGAGACUUCUUAGGAGCUGGGACAGAGGCGUCAGAGGGGAGAGGACGCUUGCCCUCGAUCUUUUUCAG